RNAcentral lists this ribosomal RNA (165 nucleotides) under uncultured bacterium. RNAcentral describes it as "partial 16S rRNA". It matches the Rfam family "Bacterial small subunit ribosomal RNA", at positions 355 to 511 of the family's 1533-position model. The record is from RNAcentral.
UAGGGAAUCUUCCACAAUGGGCGAAAGCCUGAUGGAGCAACGCCGCGUGUGUGAUGAAGGGUUUCGGCUCGCAAAACNCUGUUGUAAGGGAAGGAAUGACAUUGAGAGUAACUGUUCAAUGUGUGACGGUAUCUUACCAGAAAGGAACGGCUAAAUACGUGCCAG